This 203-nucleotide long non-coding RNA is filed under the name Hordeum vulgare. RNAcentral's name for it is "long non-coding RNA (HVUL_LNC021588)". Lineage: Eukaryota; Viridiplantae; Streptophyta; Magnoliopsida; Poales; Poaceae. The record is from RNAcentral.
UCAAAAUUCCAUAUCAUCCAUACAUCCAAAAUUCCAUAACAUCCAUAUAUACAUAUAGUUCCAUAGCAUCCAUACAUACAUAGCUCCAUAGCAAAUAUAAUACACAACGAUACUUUGCGGGCAUUAGUAAGUAAUAUUUGGCACUAAAGCAAAUGCCUUCAUGUCCAUAUCGUAGUCCAAAGAGCAUCCGCGUGGCAACCUAC